Molecule: transfer RNA, 104 nt
Filed under: Candidatus Woesearchaeota archaeon
Lineage: Archaea; Nanobdellati; Candidatus Woesearchaeota
Description: tRNA-Val
Rfam family: tRNA
About the family: Transfer RNA (tRNA) molecules are approximately 80 nucleotides in length.
Source: RNAcentral
GGGUCUGUGGUCUAGCCUGGUUAUGAGAUGUUUACAAAUCGUAUUAUCUAACAAAUGCUGCCCUUACAAGGCGGAGUUCGCAAGUUCAAAUCUUGCCAGACCCA